Molecule: long non-coding RNA, 784 nt
Filed under: Nicotiana benthamiana
Lineage: Eukaryota; Viridiplantae; Streptophyta; Magnoliopsida; Solanales; Solanaceae
Description: long non-coding RNA (NBEN_LNC026247)
Source: RNAcentral
GGUGUUCGGUACCUACGUUGGAGUUCGACUACAUCCAUAUUCACACAGCGUAGGGGCCCCAUUCAGGAGGAGGCGCUCUCUACCAAGGCUUUUUCAUUCUUAAGGCUCGAACACGAGACUUAAUUGUCAAAUAUUGUGAACAUGCAUACAAAGAGAGAAGAGAUCGUAUGCGAAGAAAGAGAGGAAUGGAGCGAAGAUUUUCAUUGCAAAACAAACUGACAUCCUAGUCUAACCAAAAUUCUAAUCCAACUCUAAUUAACAACUAACUCUAGUUAGAUAUGAGUUACUAUGCUAAUCUAUGGUUAAGUUAUUACAUCCAUUUUCGAAAAGUGUGUAGUUUUCCAUUCCUGUUAGCAACAUUCCCACAUUCAUCGAACUAGGUCCAUUGGAAGGGUGCAAACAUAACGGAUGACUGUGGUCGAGAAACGCCGUACCACUAGCUCCGCCACUAGAAGUACUACUACUAAUAUUGCUCGAAUUUUCCAGAGUCGUCAUGUUAGACGAAGAAUUAGAUGUAAAAUGAACAUAAUCUCUGUAGUUUCAGCUCAAUUCCUGUGAAAAUUUUCCGAAAUUAGGGUUCUAGAAUAUCAUAAAUUGCCGAUUGUCAGACAAAAUUGUGUAAACUCUCUUGAUUUCCCUUUGAAUUGCGCGAGAAAAUCCCUAUAACUCCAUAGAGAAAUGCUUUGAUACCAUGUCAAAUGCUGUGAACAUACAUGCAUAGAGAGAAGAGAUCGUACGUCAAGGAAGAGAUAAAUGGAGAUUUGCAGAAGCUUUUCAUUGCAAA